Molecule: long non-coding RNA, 5270 nt
Filed under: Gossypium barbadense (sea-island cotton)
Lineage: Eukaryota; Viridiplantae; Streptophyta; Magnoliopsida; Malvales; Malvaceae
Description: long non-coding RNA (GBAR_LNC012139)
Source: RNAcentral
AAAUAUUAUAUCAAUUAAAAAAUUUACAUGACAAAUACAAAUAUCUUGAUAAAAUUAACAAUUAAAUUUUUAAAAUAUCAAUAAUAUAAAAAGUUAUGAAAAUGUGUAAAAUAACUUAAAUUCUACACAAAUAUAAAUAGAUCCCUCUCAAAACAGAGAUAUAUAUAUAUAAUCACCUUUUUUUGAAGUUACGACUUUUUUUUGGGUGUAAAAAAGAAUAGAUAUAAUUUAAAUCUAAAAUUAAAGUAGUAUUCAAAAUAUACUACAUCCCAUCAUAUUACAAACUAACAGGGAAUUUAGGUAGUAAGGUGGUGUUCUACAUAAGGACAGCAUCCGGGGUAGGGAGCUAGUAAGGUGGUGUCAAGCGACCAAAAAAUAUUUUUUACUUCAACUCUAGUCCUACAUAAACAGAAUAAUUUUUUAGAGCAAAUAUCAUCAUUUGGUAGAGGAGGAGACUGGAAAUUGCUCCCAAAUUGGGCUAGUGCAUCAGCAUAUUUGUCUCAUUCCCGAAAGACAUGCUUUAGAAACCUAAAAGUUAUACCAUGGAAAAUGUUGGAAGCGUAAUAAAAAAAAAUUCAAAUACUGAUUUUAUUACAUACAAAUAAACACUAUAAAAUACAAUACAAACUCUCUCUCUUUUUUUUUUCUCUAUUCUAGCUGCUGCUAAUUUUUCUUUCUAUACUCACAACACUUUUUUUUUCUCUCAAACUUACUAAUUUUUUCAACACUCACACACACAUGAACUAUACAUACAUAUAUAUAGACAUAGUCUAGUUACCUUAAUGAUUGCUUAUCCCUUAAGUAUAUCAUAAAUGAUAAUGCUUAUCCAUUGUACAUGCCUUGCCUUGUAGAACUUUUCAAUGUUGCUACCAUCUUGAUUUUUCAUGAAGUUUCCAACAUGAUAAGCUUUAUCUAAUUUGCAAAGUUGUAUCAGGUAGAAGCCAAUUUGGAUACAAACACUUUGGUUGCAAUUUUUGACUUUGGAAAGUUGGUUUGAUUUCUAACAUUCCCAUUCAAACCGAACUUUUCAUUCCAAGCUUUUCUUUGAGUUUAUGGAAUAUGUCCGCUUUCAAUGGCUUCGUAAAAAUGUCCGCCAGUUGAUCUUCUGUUCUGCAGUAGACUAACUCCACAUUUUUAUUUUUCACUUGCUCUCGAAUAAAAUGAUACUUUGUAUCAAUAUGCUUGUUUUGACUAUGAGACACUGGAUUCUUUGCAAGAGAUAUUGUGGACUUGUUGUCAACAUGAAUUGUAAUUGGACCUUCUUGUAUAAUAGAUAAUUCACCCAAAAUAUUCUUCAACCAAAUUGCUUGACACGUACAUGUUGCAAUAGCCAUGUAUUCUGCUUCACAUGUUGAAAGGGCUACUAUUUGUUGCUUCUUUGAUGACCAUGAAAAUGCUGCGGAGCCAAUAUGGAAUAAAUAUCCGGAUGUACUUUUGCGAUCAUCCAAGUCACCACCAUAAUCACUAUCUGAAUAACCAACCAAAUUUGAACUCUGUGAGUAUGUAUAAAAUAAACCUUGAUCCAUCGUACCUUUGAUGUAUCUCAAAAUUCUCUUUGCUGCAAUCAGGUGAUCUUGCUUUGGCUUCUCCAUGUUUCCUUCUUUGUUGGCCUUCGUCUUGUACACCCAUUUGAGACCAAUUGGACUAUGUCCUUCUGGUAGAGUUGUUAGCUACCAUGUGUCAUUUCUUUUUAUUGCUGCAAUUUCUUCAUCCAUUUUCUUCUUCCAUCUAACAUCUUUGAUCGCAUCUUCAUAUAUUAUUGGAUCACAUUCUGUCAUCAAACAGAAUAAUGAAUAAUCGAGUAUUGUUUCUAUGGGUUCAGUAACCUCAUAAAUAUAGCGUAAACUACGCAUUCUUGCAUGUGCUUCCUCUGAGUUGCUGGUAUUGCUGCUGGUUGGUAAUAAUGAUGUUGUAGGAGUUGUUGCAACAGGACUUGGAGGAGGGCUUUGAUCGUCGCCUUGUUCUUGAUUAAUGAUGUCGUCGUCUUUGUCAUCACUGAAAAAUAAUCCUUCAAUUUUCUUUUCUUCUUCACUCUAUCUCCAAUAAUCAGCUUCAUCGAAUUCAACAUCUCUUGAAAUAAUAACUUUCUUGGUGAGAGGGUUGUAUAACCUAUAUGCCUUGCUUCUCUUUUCAUAACCAAUGAAAAUACAUUUUACUCAUUUAUCGUCAAGCUUCUUUCUCGUCUAGUCAGGAACAUAAGCAUAUGCAAUGCAUCCAAAAAUCUUGAGAUGUCCGACUCCUGGCUUUUGAUUGCUCCAAGCUUCAUUUGGCGUCUUGUAUUUUACACUUUUUGUUGGACAUCGGUUCAACAAAUAAACAGCACAUUGAACAGCUUCAGCCCAGAAAGUUCUUGGUAAAUGCUUACCUUUAACCAUGCUUCUUGCCAUAUCAAGAAUAGUGCGGUUCUUUCUUUCAGCAACUUCAUUUUGUUGUGGUGUGUAUGCAGUUGUCAACUAGUGAAUAAUUUCGUGUUUCUUGUAGAAGCUUUCAAAUAGCUUUGAAGUAUACUCACCACCUCUAUUAGUUCUGAGUAUUUUAAUGAAAUGUCCACUCUGUUUUUCUAUGAUGGCUUUAAACUCGAUAAACUUGUCAAAUGCUUCUGAUUUUGUUUUAAGAAGAUAUAUCCAACUUUUUCUACUAAAAUCAUCAAUAAAAGUAACAUAGUACCUGUUUCCACCAAGUGAUGGUAUAUCAAAAGGACCUACUAUAUCGGAGUGCACGAUCUCCAAUGGUCUCCUAGCUCGUCGAGUUUUUGUCGUUUCAAAACUCUGUCUGUGUUGUUUUCCUUUAAUGCAGGCUUCACACAGUUGAUCAGGAGGAUUAGUUUCUGGCAACACAUUCACCAUAUUUUCUUUUGACAAUAGCUUCAGAUCGGAAAAUCCAAGAUGCCUGAACCUUAAAUGCCACAACCAUGAUUCAUCUUUAAUUGCAUUCUUCAUGCAUUUCACCUCUCCAGAUUCAAUGUCAAUAGUAAAUAGACGGUUACGCGUCAUAUCAACUUGGGCAAUUAAUUUACCACUCUUAUUUUUUAAGGCGAGCAUGGAAUCCUUCAUAUGUACUUCAUAUCCUUUUUCUAGAAGUUGUCCAAGGCUGAUGAUAUUGCUUUUCAAAGUUGUUACGUAAUAAACAUCUGAAAUGAGCUUAUUUUCUCCAUUCUUUUGUGUAAUAGUGACUUUGCCUUUGCCUUUGACCGUGGCAUGCGAUUCAUCUCCAAACGUUACUUGUCCAUGAAUAUUCUCAUCUAACUCUGAAAAUAAGUCUUUUCGGCCAUACAUGUGAUUGCUGGCGCAAUUAUCAAGAUACCAAAUAUUUUUUCUUGAUUUUUCACUUUCUUUAUAAGUGAGGAAUAUACUAGAUUCCAUGUUUUCCUCUUCUUUAGCUGCUGCUACAUGAUUUCUCUCCUCCAUCUUGGGAUUUGAUCCACACUCGUAACUAUAAUGGCCAUAUUUAUUGCAAUUAUAACAUUGUACCUGAGAUUUAUUUCCUUGUUGAAAUCUACCUCUACCUCUGCCUCGACCUCGGCCUCGAGCUCCUUGUCCACGACUCGAUGUUUGAUAUUCAUCACUUGUUUGGACUUUACCAUAUGAUUGAUUUUCUCGUCCACGUGUUCCUCUUCCACCUUUAUUUCUGCCUCUAUAUCCUCCACGGUAUCCUCCACGAUUGCUCGUACCUUGUCCAAAAUUGUCCCUAGCUCCACUUUCGUUGAAGGACAACUUUCUUUGCAAGACUUGGUCUAAAUUUCCAGUACCAUCAUUUAGCUUCAUUUUAUGCUCAUGGGCUUGGAGGGAACCCAAAGUUCGUCGAUUGAUAUUUGUGAUAAAUCUUUUGACUCUUCAAUGGCAUCCACCAUAUAAUCAAAUUUGCGUGUCAAUGACCGCAAAAUUUUUUCCAUUACUAUGACAUCAUCAAGUGUUUCUCCAUUUCUUUUCAUUUCAUUUACCACCGCUUUCACCCGAAUAACACAAUCAUCAACACUUUCCGAUGGUUUCAUUUUCAACAUCUCAAAUUCGGCUCUAAGGGUUUGUAAACGUACCUUUUUAGCCUUUUCCGCUCUUUGAAGGAAUUUUUGCAAAAUUCCCCAUGCUUCAUUUGAUGUUUUCGCAUCUGAAAUUUUUUCAAAGGUUAAUUCAUCAACACCUUGUAAAAUAAAGAACAACGCCCUCUUAUCCUUUUUACGAGCUUCUUUCAAUACUCUUUUUUCUUCAUUUGUCAAAGCUGCUUCGGCAGCUGCAUUUUCAAGCUCGACAUAUCCUUCUUCGACAACAUCCCAAUAAUCUUGAGAACCGAACAAAGCCUUCAUCUGGAUGCUCCAGUUGCCAUAAUUUGUCUUUGUUAAUUUCGGGAUCUGCGGUUGAAUCAUAUUUGCCAUUGUGACGUCAACACGAACCUAGCUCUAAUACCACUUGUUGGAAGCGUAAUAAAAAAAACUCAAAUACUGAUUUUAUUACAUACAAAUAAACACAAUACAAAAUACAAUACAAACUCUCUCUUUUUUUUUCCCUAUUAUCAUUUAUGAUACUCACAACACUUUUUUUUCUCUCAAACUCACUAAUUUUUUCAACACUCACACACACAUGAACUAUACAUACAUAUAUAUAGAAAUAGUCUAGUUACCUUAAUGAUUGCUUAUCCCUUAAGUAUAUCAUAAAUGAUAAUGCUUAUCCAUUGUACAUGCCUUGCCUUGUAGAACUUUUCAAUGUUGCUACCAUUUUGAUUUUUCAUGAAGUUUCCAAAAUGAUAAGCUUUAUCCAAUUUGCAAAGUUGUAUCAGGUAGAAGCCAAUUUGGAUACAAACUCUUUGGUUGCAAUUUUUGACUUUGGAAAGUUGGUUUGAUUUCUAACAGAAAACUAUCCUACACUAAUCAAUCAAAAAGAGACAAGACAAUCUUAGAAACUUUAUCAGAAGACAUAAAUUGAAUAAUGAUAAUGGCAUCCAUUGCUAUUUCAAGAUUGAUGAUGUUUAGCUCCCUAGCAUUAUGAGAUCAUCCCUUCAAGGCCUAAAACUUUGGCUCUACGCUAGUGAUUUUAGGUAUAUGUCGAUAAGCUCUAACCAUCCAGCUUCCAGCAUGGUUUCUUACAAGAGCUCCUACCCCAACUUUACCGAGGUAACCUAAAGAGGAACCAUUGGUGUUAAGUUUAUACCAACCACUAGACACGGUUUCCAAGUAUCUGGAACAAAUGAGGCAGUUUCCUAUGUCAUGGGUGAAUUUUUUUCAUGUAUAACUUAUAGUUAUGAAAAUAUUAUAUAAAAUCGAACGUGGAAUGUAGAAA